Bombus terrestris (buff-tailed bumblebee) is the source of this 992-nucleotide long non-coding RNA. RefSeq lists it as uncharacterized. The record is from RefSeq and is a predicted model, not a curated record. NCBI's taxonomy places the organism in Eukaryota, Metazoa, Arthropoda, Insecta, Hymenoptera, Apidae. The transcript has 3 exons.
UGCGACCGUGUGCUCUAUGCUUCGGUCGGCCCGCCACGUGCCACUAGUGUAAUGGCGGCGCGUCACUAGCGCAAUGGCGGCGCCCGGUGAUCACCGCACGUUUCACAUCGCAGUUACGGUUUACGAGUUUUUUUAAAAAAUAAUGAAAUACUCACAGUGAUAUCCGGAUAUUUGUAAAAAUUCACCGUGACCUGUGCUCUCCUUCUUCGCCUCGGUUCGUGAAAAUACACCGAUUCAUGCCCGCUGACGAUGCGCUGUCCGCGGAGAGUAAAUAUUUACCUCGCAAAGUCACUAUCACUAUUCGUCGAGGAGAGUCUUAACUUGCACUAUAGCUAGUUGAUAAGUUUGUUCAUUGGCCUUUAUUGAUUUGAGAAAAUCAGCACGACGCCCCUGGUUACUGCAUAACCUCAACCGUGUGACAGCUUGCCUUAUAGGCACAAAACCUUAGUUUGCGACGAGCAAUUUUUAUAAGCUAUCCCGCUAUGACACAAUCAAGAGCGCUUGUGCCAGGAGAAAGGCACUAGAAUUUAGUUUAUUGGCUAUAAUUAUAGUGCUAUAAUUAAUCUGGCGUUCUAUCCAAGAUCAGUUCUACAGAUGUUACAUCUCCUUGAGUUGCGUUAUAUGAUCACAUGCUUCUAUGUAUCCCAGACUUUCCCUUUCCGAUGGAGAGUCUCCUCAUUUGAUUGUAUUACACCCAAAGGGCUCGUGAACACAUUCAGACAAUAGUUGCUUUUACUUAUAAUGAAGAUAACGUAUCCUGCUCCGACAGCUAGUAUACAAGGUGGAGGAUUUAACACAACAAUCAACCACUCUGGUCUCACACAUAUUUGCCUAACUUAAUUUAACUUAAAACCACUCUACCUUCUGUGACGGUAAUGGCCAUACCCUGUGUCUACCCUGCUUGUCGCAUAAUCACUUUCCUAAAUGCGACACAAGUUAAACUCAUUGCAUGGAUUACCAUCUCAUAUUUAAUAAAGAACCUAUAACAUCCA